This 1827-nucleotide long non-coding RNA is filed under the name Haliotis rubra (blacklip abalone). RNAcentral describes it as "uncharacterized LOC124289633". Lineage: Eukaryota; Metazoa; Mollusca; Gastropoda; Lepetellida; Haliotidae. The record is from RNAcentral.
AGUAUAUAUAUAUAGGUAAGUAAUAUUAUUGGUAUGAGUGUUGAUGUUAUCACAAGAUAUCCUACAGUAUGAUCUAUUGUUUCACCAUACCAUAGAUGAUCACCAAACAUUAAAGAACAAUAAGCAUAAGAAUAACAUAUCAUUCCCAACACUCUCACAUUACACCAACUCAUAAAGAAUGAUAUAAGAACGGCAUCAACCAAUGAAUGCAGGAUACACCCGUAAUGAGAUCACCGCGGGGUCUAAUGACCAAUCAGAGAGGUGAUAAUGACGUUACUAAUGAACUGGACUCAGGUCACGACCCCACACCGUUAUCUGCCGCGGACCAUUGACCCACUCACCACUGAUCACCGUUAGACACCAACCUCAGCAAUGGAAUCGUUAAGUGUUAUUGUUGUUUUGGUUUUGAGCGUUGUACUUUCACACUCGCUAGACAUUCCUAAACGAUGCGUGAUUCGUCAUCGGAAUUUCAUGCAGUGCUUCGGCACCGGAUCCCGCAACCUGGUGGGUGGAUACCAUCCUGCGGUUGUGCGUGUGCAGGGUCAAGGGUGGGAUUCCCCAUUCAUGAUCGACGGUCGAGCCUACCCCGGGUUGAGGUAUGUCGAGCUCGCAAAUUCUCACAUCACUUGCGAAGACAUCGUGAGACCACCAUUCAUCACGAUCAACAUCCUACACAGAGAUGUGUGUCAAUCGGUGAGUGUUUAUGAUUACUAACACACCUCGAUGUUUAUGAUUCGAUCUUGUCUUAAUAGUGGGUACAUAAUAUAAGAUAAUAUUAAUUAUUCACAGACAACGGACUUACCCUCAGCUCCGCAGAGGAAGACCACUUCACCAUCUUCAUCCCUCCAUUCAACACCCACAGACUCCACCUCAACCACUCAAAUCGCCGUUGAUUCUUCCCACACUCCAUCUGACUCACACCAAAGGCAAACUGAAGACACCACUGAUAAAAAACACACCCACACCACCACUAUCAACGACCGGCUCUCAUCCACCACCGAGGCACUCAUCGACGGAAUCGAGUCGUGGGUGCCGCCGGUUGUGGGGGUGCUGGGAUUUGGUUGGAUCAUCAUCGGUGUGUACUGUGCGUGGGUGUGUCGACACCGUUCCAAGUGUUGUUGGAGUAGACGAAGUUGUUGUCGUCGUAACACCACAAAUAAUCCGUACGAUAUCGAAAUUGAUAUUUUUGAAGUGAGUGGGGCCACGGGGUGCAACCCUGACUCUAUACCGGUGAUCGAACAUCACCAUGCUGAAUAGCUAUCACCACCACUGAUGUGUGUUUGUGUGUAAUCAUCACUAUAUACUUCUUCCAGCCCUGUUCGUUUAUCUGGAGGACACGGUUCUGUGGAUUGUCAUGGGGUUUAUGCUCUUCGCGAGGGAGAGAAUAACCCGUUUCGUGCUGGACGGGUUCAUUCUACGCUUCCAUCCACGCAGACAUCAACAACAACCUCAACAGCCUCAGCAACAGCAUCAACCUCAACAACAGCAACAACCUCAACAACAGCAGCAACCUCAACAACAGCAACAACCUCAACAGCAACAGCAGCAACCUCAACAGCAACCACAACUCCAAGAACCCCAACCCCCUCAACUCCGAGAACGUCAUCAUCAGCUCCAUCAUCAAGCACCCCCUCAACAACGACAACAUCAACUCCCUCUUCAUCAACCUCAACAACAACCACAACGUUUGAGGCGAUCCACCAGGUGUAGGAGAGCCCCCCAACAGACUUACCUAUUGACAUUGUUUGUGAUGGUGUAUUCUUUGUAAAUGUGGAGAUGAUUGGUUUGUAAAAUGUGUGUGUGUGUGUGAUAAAUAAUCAUUGUGCA